AAAGAAAUGACCUGAUCCUCCCCCAAGCCAUGUCAGAGUUGAGGAGCUAUCCUCACUUAGCCUCACCCUGCAAAGAAAUGACCUGAUCCUCCCCCAAGCCAUGUCAGAGUUGAGGAAGACAGGAACCAGACUGGAAGCACUAAAGCUUAGGGCAAAGGCAGGAGGCAUGCUGGAGAAGAUCCAGACCAUGCUUGCUCAGCAGCAGGGUGAUGAGAGGAGAUUCCAGGUGUGUUAGGCUGAGAGCUUGUUAGGAUGCAAGAGAAAUCGAUUAUUAAAAUUGACGAUUAAGACUGAUUCCCACACUGAGAAUCUAUGUAUUCGUUACCCAAUAGAACAAUUUGAGGAUAAGGAGGGAAAUGCAGUGGAGAAGUCUUUAAAAAAUGUUUAUGGGAGACAGACAAAUGGCCAGACAUGUCAUUGUGUGUACCCCAGUGGAGUCUUUCAGAGUGGUAAACCCUGACACAUGGCCAGAAGACCAGGCCAGCCUUCUCACCUUUGGCGACGAUGGUGUGGCAGACCUGAUAAGGCAUUUUAAGGAGCUGAGAAUUUAUUUGACACUGCAUUGCCAUAUGAGACAAUGUUAUAUUUGCAUAUUUGUAAACUCACUUGCUCUGUUAAAUCCUACAGAUCGGGGUGCAACAUGGCUGCAAUCCAGGAUGAGUGGCAGGGGCUGUCAGCCACAAUUUCAAGGACAAGUCUUAGUGGCAUGUGGGAGACCAUGUUGACAAAGGACCCCUACAGGCACGAUUACAAGAACAUACUGGAGUUGGUGCAGCUUAUGCUGGUGCUGCCCAUUUCAGCCGCCCAGUGUGAGUGAGGCUUCUCUGUGCAGAACCGGAUUAAGAUUGACAAGAAGUUGCCUUGGGGUCUCUAUCACCGAAGACCUGAUGAGGAUCAGCCUGGGGGUCUUCUGUCGAGGAGUUGGAUCCCACUCCUGCCGUGGACCGCUGGCUGACCUCUAAGCGUGCCAGACGGCCAACAUACAAAAGCAGCUGGACAACUGAUAUCCUUUGCGUCUAGUAGCCAUGAGUCAAUGUAUGAUUGGUGGUAUGUGUCCCUUAUGUGUCCCUUAGUACACACACGCAGUAAAAAUAUGUAUGUAAUAAAUUGUUUGUUAAUAAAC
Long non-coding RNA from Oncorhynchus tshawytscha (Chinook salmon), 1123 nucleotides. The record is from Ensembl. NCBI's taxonomy places the organism in Eukaryota, Metazoa, Chordata, Actinopteri, Salmoniformes, Salmonidae.